RNAcentral lists this non-coding RNA (97 nucleotides) under human gut metagenome. RNAcentral's name for it is "THF riboswitch". It matches the Rfam family "THF (Tetrahydrofolate) riboswitch aptamer". Rfam says of the family: THF riboswitch presents a pseudoknot that joins P1-P2 and the loop of P3 and two THF binding. The record is from RNAcentral.
GCAAAGUAGGAAUCGGUGCGUUAAGUGAGAGAGGAACGGGAAGUUGUCCUUUCUACGAAAAGCGUUUUGCUUGCGGUGCCGUUUCCGCAUUCCGUUG